This 106-nucleotide small nucleolar RNA is filed under the name Gossypium hirsutum (cotton). Its description in RNAcentral is "Plant small nucleolar RNA R71". It matches the Rfam family "Plant small nucleolar RNA R71". From Rfam's summary of the family: R71 is a member of the C/D box family of snoRNAs containing the C (UGAUGA) and D (CUGA) box motifs. Multiple nearly identical copies of this snoRNA have been identified in Arabidopsis, and it is thought to function as a 2'-O-ribose methylation guide for 18S ribosomal RNA. Lineage: Eukaryota; Viridiplantae; Streptophyta; Magnoliopsida; Malvales; Malvaceae. The record is from Rfam by way of RNAcentral.
AUCACAUGAUGAGAACACUUAGGAAGUAACUCCUUGAAUCGCUUCCAAGCCUUAUACAAAGACUCGUCACCCAAUUGUUGGAAGUUGUGAUCUCGUUCCUCAACUU